AUGAUGGUCGAAUCAGAUGUUCGUGGCUACCUUUAUGAGCCGCUAUAUAGCGAGCAGCGGCUGAGGCUUCUGCAGCCGAGGCAGAGGACCUGCCUGUCGCGGACGAGGAGCCCGGACUGGCUCGAGCUGGGGCGGACUGCUGGUGCCUGUGCUCUCGCUGUGCGCCUACGGACACACGGACGUCUGACUGUAAAACAAUAUCGCCUAACAGCCUUUCUGGAAUGGGUCCUGCAAGGCGAGAGAUUGGGUCGAGGCCAUCGUGUCGUUUUACCCGCUGAUGUGGUUCCAGAUGGCCAGUACUGCGGCACCGAGACGUUGAGGACGCUCAGGAGGAACUAUAACUGUCAUUGUUAACAUUUAUUUUUGUUGUUGUUGAUAUAUUUCUGUAAAUAAAUGGUUUACAUUCACGUUGUUGUAGUCUUUGAUAGUGUUAGUGGGAGCGGCUUGCGGAGCUGUGCAUUGUGGGAGAUGAUGUCUUUAAUACAAAUGCGCCCUAAAGUCACUUUCUGUCUUUUCUCGGUCAAAUAGGCACCAAAUUCAAAAUGUAUGUUACAUUUAGACUACAUAUAUAACCCACUUUCAAUAAAUAUUAAUGUUUCCACAGGUGAAAUGCUCCUUUAAACCAGUCUUAGUCAGCAGGGUUGGAGGUACUGGGAGCUGUGGUUGCGAAGGUUGGAGGUACUGGGAGCUGAGGUUGGAGGUACUGGGAGCUGUGGUAACAACGUUAGUCCCUCUGAAAUUGAUAAUCUUGUUGAUAGUGCUGCAGGCUCACUACGAUCAACAUUAGACUCUAUCGCUCCUAUAAAAAGGAAAUUAUUAAAACAUAGGAGACUAGCACCUUGGUACAACCACCAAACCCACCAGUUAAAGCAAAUAGCUAGGAAAUCUGAAAGGAAAUGGCGCUCUUCCAAAUUAUCAGAACAUCGCUCAAUUUGGCAAGAUAAUCUUAAAACUUAUAGAAAGGCCCUCCGUAAUGCCAGAGGAGCCUAUUACUCAGCACUAAUAGAAGAAAAUAAGAAUAACCCUAGGUUCCUCUUCAGCACUGUAGCCAGGCUGACAGAGAGUCACAGCUCUAUUGAGCCACAUAUCCCCAUAA
RNAcentral lists this long non-coding RNA (1096 nucleotides) under Dicentrarchus labrax (European seabass). RNAcentral describes it as "lncRNA (ENSDLAG00005028399.1)". Lineage: Eukaryota; Metazoa; Chordata; Actinopteri; Moronidae. The record is from RNAcentral.